Cotesia glomerata is the source of this 150-nucleotide long non-coding RNA. RefSeq lists it as uncharacterized. The record is from RefSeq and is a predicted model, not a curated record. Lineage: Eukaryota; Metazoa; Arthropoda; Insecta; Hymenoptera; Braconidae. The transcript is spliced from 3 exons.
UGUUAAUUAAUUAAUGAAUCAAAAAAAGCCAUUCUUAACACAAGUCGGUAACAUCUUGAAUCAAUGUUAUCGCCUAUCUUGAACCAAGAGACAAAAAUUCUUGAAAGAAAUAUAUCUAUAUCUAGUUUCAAGAGUUCAAGUUUUGAAGAA